Molecule: non-coding RNA, 3088 nt
Organism: Pelodiscus sinensis (Chinese soft-shelled turtle)
Lineage: Eukaryota; Metazoa; Chordata; Testudines; Trionychidae
Source: RefSeq, a predicted model, not a curated record
CUGCUUCCCUCUGGUCCUUCCCCAUACCCCGCCUUGCCCCCCACAUCCAUUCCCUGUUUCCUUCCCUCCGGCGUCCUUUCGUUGACCCCUUCUCCAUCCCCCCUCCCGCAUUGUUUCUCCCAUUCUAAGGGGAAUGCCCUUCUCUCCGCCACCACUGCUGCACUGGGCCGUUUAUGUUGGGGGGGGGAUCUCAGCCUGGGGGGCAUGGCCCGCAAAGCGAUGUCAAGGGGUCACAAGCACCCUCCUCAGCUCCUCUCUGCAUGGGGUGCUGGGUGUGGGUGUAGUCUGGAGGGGGGAGUCCAACGACGCUGAUGGUCCGGGGAUGGAAAAGGCAGAGACCCACCAUUCUGCGGAGCGCCUUCUGCUUGACCUGGGUGUAAGGGACAUCAAAAUGGGACCACCCGGAACUCCCUGUGCCAACCCCGCAGCUGGUGGAAAUCAGAGUUGCUCCAUUGCUUUACCCCAGCUGAGGCACUGGAGGUGGAGCUGAUGAGGGGCACAGGCUGGGCCCUGGGACUCAUCCGCACUGUAGCCCAUCCGUGUGGACACCUCUUCUCCCAGUUCGGCAUCGCCCUCCCUGAUCCCACUGGGAGUGUGUAGGGGGGAAGGGGAUGUGCUAGGAGGUCCACGAAUGGCUUUCAGUCCUCUCCGGCAUUCUGGAUCAGCUUGGUGCCAGCUUGCCUGACCUUGGGUCUCUUUUGUUCCAGCUCUGACAGUCCGAUUCCUCACCCGGAGGUUUAUUGGUGAAUACGGGGAUAUUGAAUCCAUUUACACCCACAACGUGAUGGUCGGGGGCCGAGAGGUUUGCUUCAGCAUCUGGGACUCUGUCUGCCCCCAGGGCUCUGAGCUCCAGGGCUGGGUGAGCGAGAAGCAGCUGCGUUGGGCCGACGGCUUUGUCCUGGUCUACAGCAUCUGUGACCGCUCCAGUUUCCACCUGGCCCGGCAGCAGCUCCAGCGCAUCCGGCAGCUGAAGAGACGGGGCAGUUCGGAGAAAGCGCCCGUCAUCCUGGUGGGCAACCCUGCAGCGUCGGCGGGCCGUCUCCAGCGAGGAAGGGCGGCUUUUGGCCCUCUCCAUGAACACGGGUUUCUUCGAGGUCUCGGCCGCCGAGACCUACCAGGGUGCCCUGGUGGUCUUCCACGAACUCCUCGACAUGGUGCGGGACUCGCGGAGCUCGGGCAAGAAGGCUCCGUGGCAUUGUGCGGAGCAUGUCGGCCGUCUUCGGGAGGAGGAGGACAGAAUGAGCGAGGCGGGGUCCCGCGAGGAGAGCUUGGAUCCUAGGGACAACGGAACGUAGCUGGAAGCAUGCGCCAGCGGUCAGGCUGUGGGCGGUUCCUCGGUGUGGCACCCGCUGAGUCCCUCGGAGAGCGUACGACAGAGGUGGCAGCCAAUGGGGGAGCAUUUCUGUGCACGUGUCCCGAGUCUGAUCUGAUGGGAGCUUUGGCUGGGGUCUGCUGGCGUCUAGAGAGCUCGGCCAUCUGCCAAAGGGCUGCCUUCCCCUCCCAGCACGGCAUGUCACAGCCUCCGCCCUGGGCAGCAGUGUUACUCGUUAGCGAUGUAAUUGGGUGGCAGUUACAUCCCGCCUCCCUCCCCGUGCCCGCUGUUCGUUUCCACUGGAGGAAGGAUUCUCUGCAUGCCCCUUCCUAACGUUUGUGAUUCGUGGCUGUUAAAGAGCAGCUGCGCUCUGCCCCAGAAGAGGGUGCAUUUGAAAGGGUGGGCGAACGAACUAUGUUUACAGGGAACCAGAUUUGUCAAGUGGAUAUUAGGUGCCCAAUUGUCCCCCGACCGCUGUGCCUUGUGGAAGCAUUCACACCCAGCGCAGAGAGGACAUGCAAGGCUAACAACCCUGAAUGGCUGCAUUUUACAGGCCAAAAUCCCUGCAAGAGGACGAUUACACUGUUCCCUGGAAGUGCGUCGGAUUUGGAACAUAAGGCACAAGGCAGUGGAGAAUGACACCCAGAGCCCAUGUUUGGAUGAUACAGUCUGUAUAUGGGGCCUGAGCCUGAAUUCAGGCUCAAGUCCCAUUGGAGUCAGAGGCCACGGUGAUGGGCAAGGUACAAAAAACCUUUGAGGCUCAAGCAUCGAGCCUGCUCAGUCAAAGGAAUGACUGGCUGCAGCACCUACAAGCUUGAAGCACAACAUUUAUGCACUUUUAAGGGUCCCCCCAUUUGAAAACCGGGCUCUAAAUCCUCUGGUACUAGGGAGAUGAUUACAAAUGUUGGUGAUUAAAUCAUGGGACUCGCGGGAGUUUGAGUUAUUCACACCACCCCAUUGGGUUGCCUUGUUUUUUCUGCUGGGUUCCAAAUUACUUUUCCUGCUAAAAGUGAUCUGAUCUCAAUUCGGUUGGUGUGAACCCAUGGACUUUAAUGGAGUCACUCUGGAUUUACACUUGCUGUAACUGAAGCAGAAUCUAAGGCAUUGUGCAACUCGUCAGUUACACCAGUGUAAAUCCACAGUCACUCCACUCCAGUCAUUCUGAAUUUACAUCCAUGUAACUGACAGAGGAAUUUGGCCCUUUUAAUGUGCCUGGUUAAGCAACAACAGUGGCAUUUGUCAUCCUCUGCAGCACGGGCUAGUGAUAGAAAUAGGGCUGAGGACUUCAGGAUUGAACUCCUAGUUCUGUCACUGAUUUGCUGUGUGACCUUGGGCAAAUGAGAGCCUUCCCCAUGCCUCAGUUUCCUCCUCUGUAAGAUGGGGGUGAUAAUGCCUACCUCACAGUUUGUGAGGGUGUGAGGCUUCCUCACUUGCAAAAUAAACUUGAUCCCCCCCCUCCAAAGCCAAAUUCUCCACUUGGAAUAUUAGAACCAUAGUGUUGCUGAUAGACAGGACUUCCACUAUUUAAAGGCGGGUCAGUUUAAAUGCUGCCUGUUCCAGGGGGAGUGGAAGAUGGAAUUGUCUUCAGCAGCUGGGAUAUAAAUCCUCCCAACUAAAAUGUGAAAUGUUGUAUAUUUGUGAAUAACAUAAAUAUUUAACUUAUUUGGGAGCGUUCUGCAUUGGCGCGAAUGUUUACAUCCAGAAAUUUUUAUUGUCAAAAUAUUCUCUUUGCACGUUAUAAAAGAAAGAUGUGAUGGUGGAAAAAUUAUUUUUGGA